CUGUGUGCAUGCAGUCAAAAUCUGUGGAGAUUCUUAGGUGCUUCUGAAAUGAGAACUCUUCUAGGGAAUGGGUGCAUGAGGCACCUGCAGAAUCCCAGGGAUGGAACUACUGGGAGGAUUUUGAAUGGAGCAGGCUGAUUCUGAGACAGGAGACUGCCUUGCCUCAGCAAACUGGGAGGUUUUUCCCUCAGAAGUGGCACAUGAGCUCUGCCUCUGCUGUCCUGCACCUUCUGCCCUGUGUGACCAAGAUCCUGCUCUGCACCCCUGGGAGGGUUUAGUAUUUUUUGUUUACGUGGUGGUGAUUGACUAACCUCUGAGCUCCAGGCAAUACGAUCUAUCCCACAGGGGAUGCAGGAGGACUGAAGGAGCAGCUGCUUAGAGAUUCCUGGCAGAGAAUCUUGCCCUUGGCGCUCUGACUCAAGGCGCAUGAUCGUGUAACACACCCACUGGCGUGGAUGUUACGUGGUUUGUUUGCAAAUACUGGCAACCUCGGCUGAGAGAGAGAUUCCGAGUGCUCACAACCGUUCCAUUUGUGAAGAGUGUCACCUCUUCAGCGCCAGCAACAGAGCACUGGCACGGCCAGGAGGGAUUCAUUAUUGAUGCUGUGGUCAUGUAUCAGAAGCCCUCCUUGUGUACUGUAUUUCCUGGAGAUGAUUAGCCAAAAGCUGCUUAAGCUUACCUUUGUCAGGUUGAAUAUGUAUGAGCUGGACAGAGAAGUUCAUCUACUCUAACAGCCACUGAAAAGUGAUACACUUUCCUCCAAAAUGCCUGCAUUCCAGAAAUCCGAUACUUCUUAUCAGCUCGGUCAUCUUCUGACUUGGAAACAUUUGACUUCGGUCUUCUGGCUUUGGAUCUGAAAGCCUUGCCGAGCAAAGCCACGGUGACUGAAAGUGUGCUUUGGUGACUGUGUCACUUCCAGAUGGGACUGGGGUGCAGAACAGGCAGAAGGCUGCUGCUUCCUCCACCCAAAAGCAGAUUUGAGUGAAUCUGAGCACUUGGGAUCCAACCACAGUUGUCUCCAUCAGGAGGAAAAAUUACACGAGCACACAGGGAUGUCUUUUGCUCAGGUAGCAGAGAGAUGUUUCCUACUUCUCAGCUGUUUCUGAUGCCUCUACACACAAAUACCCUCAAACCUCUAUUUAUUGUUGGAGAGCAGUUGUGGUUUGACAGGCCUGUCAUCCUUUGAUUUUGAAAGCCUGAUCAAAAUCAGAGACACAGGCAGCUCAGGCUCCUCAGAUUUCAAGUUAUGUUCACGUGUGCUGAUAUUUUUUCCUCCACAAUCGGGGUUAUUUUUUUAUAAAAGGAAGUGGUAACAGGUUGACGAACAUUUGGCCUGUUGCUGUCUUGGGCUCAGGGACUUGGUGACAGCUCAUAGAAACCUUCAGCAAAACACAAGCCUGCAUUGCAGAGUACUUGGGAUCCCUCCUGGGGCAAAAAGGGUGACAAACUUCUCAUUCCCCAUCAGGUGAUCCCUUACUAGAGCCACAGUGGUAUCCAUACCUAGGCACGCUGAUCUUUCCUUUUUUUGUAUAAAGGGCAACAGAAAUUUCCCAGGCUGAGGAGCCUCCCACUGCAGCCUUGAAGUACGUUGACAAAUUCUGUGUAUUGCAGCCUGGUUUUAAAAGUGCUGAGAGGUCAGGACUCACAGAUUGCAUCACUCUUGGAAAACAGGCCUC
Long non-coding RNA from Hirundo rustica (Barn swallow), 1676 nucleotides. RefSeq lists it as uncharacterized. The record is from RefSeq and is a predicted model, not a curated record. NCBI's taxonomy places the organism in Eukaryota, Metazoa, Chordata, Aves, Passeriformes, Hirundinidae. The transcript has 4 exons.